Vittaforma corneae ATCC 50505 is the source of this 82-nucleotide transfer RNA. It matches the Rfam family "tRNA". From Rfam's summary of the family: Transfer RNA (tRNA) molecules are approximately 80 nucleotides in length. Lineage: Eukaryota; Fungi; Microsporidia; Nosematidae. The record is from Rfam.
GACAGCGUGGCCGAGUGGUUAAGGCGGUUGAUUCGAAACCAACUGGGUUUAUCCCGCAUCAGUUCAAAUCUGGUCGCUGUCG